AAUGCAAAGCGGUCUGAGUCUUUGGGGGAGGGGCAUACGGAGCCAUCCGCUCUCUCUUCAGUGCUGGCUUGUGAUUGGUUUUGCCCUCAAUAUUCGUAAAGACAUGCUCUUGACUUUGUGUCAUGACAGCUUGCUUCAGUCUGGAUUUCUUUCCCUGCUCCACAAACACAUGUCCCUCAGCAGUGAGGUGAGCAUGAGCGUGUAAUUCUGGAAGAUUCUUAGUGGUUUUGGUGUUAUGGACCUCCCUUUUGUUCUUUAUCUAAGAAACCCUCUGCUUAAGAUAAGUAAUUCUGCAUAUGCACUUGAUGUAUAUGCACUCACGCAAAGUAUGUUUCAGUGCAUUCUAACAGAACAGAUUGACAUUCCAGUUUGUGUUUUACCAUAAUCUGGUUCACUCUGGGAAAGGGGAGUAAUCAGUCUAAUCACAGUGCUUUGUCUCAAUAUUUGCAACACACAACCCAAAACAAAAUGGUGUACAUAGAAACUAAAAUUUCAGUGUUAAAUCAACUCUGACAGACCACUUUUGAGUUUUAAAGUAUACUUCCUCUCAACCCCUCUCUUCUCUCAAUCCUAUUGUCACAGUAUACUGUAAUCUCUGUAACCACUCUCCCUCCAUCCCUCACAUUUCUUUCUCCCAGCUAUCUAGUGAUACCGCUGUAUCCAUGCUCUUCUCUAAUCAACACUUCAUUCUCUGUCACCAGACCCGCAAGGCUAUCCUCUCCUAGCUCGUGGCUAUCUGACAUCCUCUGCACUAACAGGACCUCACUAUAGGCUGCAGAGAGAAAAGGCCACAAACCCAGAGACCCUGCUGACCUGUCCAGGCAGGACUCGCUCCUCUGCAUUUUGAUCCUCUGUCACUGUGCUGGUUUAAAAGGUUUACUUUUAUCAGGCCAGAUUAGAGAAUUCAUCCUCUAGCCUACACAGACUGGACUUCAUCUUCUCCUCACUCCUCAACCUCUCUUCUCCUCUCCACCUCCUUCAACCCUCCCUGCAGAUGGCUUCACCAAGUCUUUGAUAGGAUGUCUACCAACAUCCAUAACUCCUUCAUGUUGGCGGAGUCCUCUAACAUGCAACCUUCCCUCCCCGCUCUCUCGAUUCCUUCUAUUCCACCAACCACUUAGCCUGAUAUUGUCACCACACCCCGCCUCCACUCCAUUUCUCCUGACAUCCUUCCAAGCAUUUCCUCUCAUUCCUGCCCACUAGAUGUGUCCCCACAGUUUUCAAAUAAAUUCAUGUCAAAUGCUCACCUGAAGCUAAACUUGACUAAAACUGAGAUGUUAUACUACCAGUUAAUUUCUCUCCUCUUGUUGACCUUUUUCUCCCACCCAGGAGGACACCACAGUGUCACCAUCUUCAUCCGCUAGGAAUCUUUUGAGUGGUACAGCAGCUUAUCCAGAACACUGCAGCUGACCUGGUCUACAAAAUCACCGCGUUGAACCAUCAUUAUAAUGACUCCCUGGACUACCGUUGGCACACCUCCAGUCCCUGUGUUGACAGAUGCCAAUAACAGACUCCAAGGUCAAUCACAAGCCAAGAAUCAGGAGUAGAUACUGAAAGCUCUCUUAUACUUGCACUGACGAAGGAACUGCACACACCUAACUAAUCAGAAACACCCGUGAAGCCAUUUAUUUCAAGCAUGAAUGGUGCCCUGAAAUGUGGGGCUAUGUAUAAAAAGUUCUGUAAUUUCUACAUGGUGAAAGCAUGUCAGCAAUCUGAACUUUAACCACACAUGUAUUGUUUGAUUACAAAACUAAAAUUAUGGCCAAAUCAUGAAAAAAAAAUGUUUUUAUUGUCCCAAACAUUAUGGAGGGCACUGUAUAGUUUAUCCAAGUGGUGCAUUUCCAUAAUAAAGAAAA
Molecule: long non-coding RNA, 1856 nt
Organism: Anguilla rostrata (American eel)
Lineage: Eukaryota; Metazoa; Chordata; Actinopteri; Anguilliformes; Anguillidae
Exons: 2
Source: RefSeq, a predicted model, not a curated record